Molecule: long non-coding RNA, 5280 nt
Organism: Carassius gibelio (silver crucian carp)
Lineage: Eukaryota; Metazoa; Chordata; Actinopteri; Cypriniformes; Cyprinidae
Exons: 3
Source: RefSeq, a predicted model, not a curated record
UUGACGUCUCGCCACAGCAAGAGAAGUUGUUGUAACUGAGGCUUAAAAUGUUCAAUCUUCCCCAAACUUCACAUGUUCGAUAAGAGUCCUGCCCUGAACACAUCUGAAGGCCAAUAUUCCAUUAUAAUGAUAGCGCCACCUGCUGGCAAAAGGAAGAUUGGCACAUAUAUGGAAUAAACAUUGAUAUAUUCUACUUAUAUUUAUGAGUUUAAACGCAUAUUUCUCACCGUUCACCUAUUUACUAAAGCCACUCGCUGCCGGUGAGCCCGGGUGCGAGGGCCCGUUCAUCGCUGCUUGCAGCUUUAAUUAUUAUUAUUAUUAUUAUUAUUAUUUUUUUUUUCUAACGUUACGGGGGCUUUUGGGGUCCUUAACAUGCUCGAAAACUCUUGAAAAUUGGCACACAGAUUGGAACCUGCGGCCAUUAGGGUCGGGCAGAGACUGAUACACGGGCGUGGCACAGGGGCUCUACAGCGCCCCCUGGAAUACUGAGGGCCAUAUAUCAUACAUACUUGCACGUAGACACAUGAAACUCGGUACACAUGUAGAUCUCAUUAAACCAAACAACUUUCGUACUGCAUGUCAUAGGCUCCGCCCAACAGGAAGUUGGCUAUUAAGGGUUUAUUAUUCAUAUUUUUGGUCAAAGUUGUGGGGGCUUUUGGGGUCCCUAACAUACUCAAAAACUCUUGAAAAUUUGCGCACACUUUGGAAUCUGUGCCCUUUAGGAGCCUGCAGAGGUUGGGACCCGGGCGUGGCACAGGGGCUCUAUGGCGCCCCCUGGAACACAGUCAUAAAUGUUGAUGUAUAGCUCACACAUACUUGCACAUAUUCAUAUGAAACUCAGUACACAUAUAGAUCUCAUUGUGCCGAACAAUUUUCGUAUUGCAUGUCAUUGGGCUCCGCCCAACAGGAAGUCAGCUAUUUAGAGUUAUGUAAAAAGCGCAUGCUCUGGAAUUUGAUAUACUUGUCAUAGGUUUUUUACUCGUUUACCACCAAACUCGGUCAACAUGAUCUCAAGACAUUGGGGAUGAAAAAUUGCCAGGGGAUUUUUGAUAUCUCGAACGGUUUGCUCGUGGCGAGGCGUUGAAAUUAUGGCGAGAAUUGAGAAACAGGAAGUGUCUAAUACCAUCCACAUACAUUUCCUGAUUUCAAUCAAACUUCAUCAGAUUAUUCAUUGUAUGAUGUCGAUCACAUAUAUGUGACUAUUAGGAGUCAAAGUUAUAGCGCCACCAACUGGCAGCAGGAAGUGUGUCAUUUUCAAAAUGCUUUGAAUUCAGCAUCUUAUUUUUACUCGAUUUGCUUCAAACUUCAUCAGAAUAAUGUUAAAACACAGCCGAUAUGAAUCUGCUGGGGGAAAUUGGAUAGCUAAAAAUAUUGUUGCCGUGGCAACAUGUCAAACUGGAAUACUUCUCAGGUGAUUUUGAGGCAUAUAACAUGCUUAGAAUUUCAUCAAACUCAGAACACAUAUCAGUAUUUAUGAUAACUAGACACUGGCAAAAGUUCAUAAGAGGGCGUGGAAGAGGCACUCUAUAGCGCCACCUUUUGUCAAAAGUGGGGGGGUUAGUUUUAGCUACAGACACCAAACUCUGUAAAAAAAUUGUUCUUAUCAAGACGGACAACUUUCUAAUUCACAGUCAUCAGCUACGAUCAACAGGAAGUCAGCUAUUUUGAUUUGAAUGUGGAUUUUUUUUUACAUUUAGUUGUGAAUUAAUGCAUACUGCUCAGAGGAGAGUAACACUAUACACACCAAACUUUGUCUACAUGAUGCCAAAACAUUUUAAACAACUUAAAUUGCCAAUGGAUUUUGGAUAGCUUGAACGGUUUUGUCGUGGUGAUUUUUUUUAAUGACAGUAAAACUGGAAUUAUUAAUUUUCCUGCAUUUUUAAAUUCCAAACACUUCAAAACCUUUUUUCAUACAGACAAAAAGUCAUUCUGAGUAAAUAUGGAUAGUUUCACGACUUUACAACACUGUAUGGAUAAUAGAAAAUUAAAAAACUGUCAGACAUCUCAUAUCACUCUGUCCCUCUGUUUGAGUAUAUGUGCUUCAGACUUCCAUUGUCUGAGAGAAAUUGCGCCCCUACAGGUGCAAUUACCGGAGAUUUAGUUUCUCUUUUAAAUCGGUUAAAAUACAAAUAAAUACUUGGAUUUAAUUCACACUGACAAGCUAAACCAACAUAUAUGAUUAUUAUCAGGUCAGGGCUCAUUAAUAAUUGAUGUGUGGUCAGUGAUACGUGAGAAACACGAGAGAUGAAUCACCGCUCUGAGCAUGAGCAUCUGGAAUGAUGAGCUCAGAAAAAACGAGUUUAUUCUUGUUUUAUAGCUAUUAAAAAUAAAGUAUUGCAGCGAUAUCACACAAUUCACCAAUUAGAACACACCAAGAGCUAAAUUAAGAUGUUUUUGAACUGUUUGUGUGAAAAUGAAAUAUUUGAGGCUGCCUAUAUGAAAUCACCGCCUCCGAUCAGCGCGUACAGUGUCGAGCUCAAAACAAACGAAUUUAUUCUUGUUUAAGAGCUUUUUUAAAUAAAAUAUUACCACAAAUGCACACAAUAAACCCAUUGUAACACUACAAGAGCUAAAUGCAGGUGUUUGUGACCCGUUUAAGUGUGCAAGACUAUUUGAAAGCGCGACUGGCAGAAUAACAUAUAUCUCUCGAGCUGCAGGAUUCUGGCUUUCGUCGUACAAACGAACACAUCACGGACAAGAUUAUUUCAAAAUAGCUUGGCGAAUAUAAACGAAAACAGCCACGUGAACGUAAACCGUUGAGAAAUAUAUCUGAAGUGGAUCUACUGGAUUUGAAUAUUAAGUGACCGCGUAUACCAGCUGCUUCUGUCUUCAAUUUUAAUCUAUAUAAAAAAUGUAAUUCAUUCAUCUUGGCUGCGUUUUUUAUGUGUGUACGUAUUUAUUUAUUUAUUAUUUUGCUCUAACAAGAAUUAAUCUAUAUUUAAUUAAAUCAAUUACAUUUUAUUUUACAUUUGAUUUGUCCAUUUCUGCAUCUAAACGCCUAAAAACAUAAAACAUGCUCUAUUAUACUAUUGUUAGCAAUUUCUUUAUCGUCCAAUUUAUCUGGUGUACACACUUUUAUUUUCAUAAUAAACUUGUUUGUUAGAUUAUACACAGUUACAGUGGUCUAUAAUAAAUAUUAACAGGUUUUAUUCAAGCUGUUUAGAAUGAUUGCAGUAGGCUAAAAAACAUUGGAAAACAAUAACUGUUGUACUUUUUUAUAUAUUUUGUAUAAUUUCAUAGUUUAUGCAUUAUAGUUAUAAAAACAAAUAAAUUUAGCCACUCACAUAGAAAUCUUAGGCCUUAUCCUUUUCUUACAGUUUUAGGAAUUUUAAAAAAUCGUAAAAAACCUUAUUUGUGCUGCAAAUAAUAAUUUCAAACUCAAAAAGUAAAUAGUCAGUUCAUGCUUUAUAAAGCCUUGUCCCAAUAUUAAUAGUCAGUAGUAAGCAGUUUAUAAAUACAGCUAUAAAUAGCUUGUUUUUGGUUUAUAAGCACAUUUAUUAAAAAGGAGAGUAAAGGAUCAGUUAUCUUCCUAUGAAAAAUAAAAAAAUAAAAAUAAACAAACAACAACACAGAUUGAUACAGAACUCAGAAAUUCUAUUGUGGAUUUAUGAUAAAAUCAGCCUGUAAAUGAAUUCAUACUCCUCCAAGAAGACACAAGUAGUUCACACCAAACUUUUUUUUUAACAUGAAUCCAAUAUACUGAAGAUGUUAAAUUGCGAAUGGGUUUAGGACACCUUAAAUGGUGUGGCCAUAGCAAUUUAUUAAAGUAACAUAAAAAAAUACAAUAGUUAUUUUACUAUAUCUUUAAAUUUUUUCAUUCCAAACUCUUCAUAAUUUUUUAUAUACGUAGAAGUCAUCAUUUGAAGGAACCACAGUAAGUUUCAAAGCUUUAUCAUUUUCAAGAGCCAGCAAAAAAUUAAAACUAUCAUAACUUAUAAAUGAAGCUUGCAAUUCUUAGUACCAAUAAUGGCCACCUGAUGGAGCUAUAGGAUCACUUUUAAAUAAUUAUUGUAGAAACAAGUAUGAUUUAAAUCAUUUAUAGAAAUCUUUCAAAGAAAAAUAAUAUGAAUUUUAUGUAUUUUACUGAUAAAAUGACCCUCACUUAAUUAGAAUAACAAGCUGAAGUAUUGUGAACUGUAUAUUAAGAAUAAUUCUUUAUAGGCUUUAUGGACAGAUACGUUUUGAGUGACUCUUGAAGGUUCAGCACCACAUCCUCUUUUACCACUGUUUAAAGAAUUAAUCUUACAGAACAGGUGUGAAUGAAUUUUGGAUAGCUUGAAUGGUUUUGUCGUGGUGAUUUUUUGAAAUAAUAGUAAAAAAGGAACCAGUAAAAAAAAGUGCAGCUUCUAAACACUUCAAAAAAAUGUACACAUAGAAGACAAGUCAUUCUGAGGAAAUAUGCAUAGUUUCAUGACUAUACAACAUUAUAUGGAUGACAGAAAAUUAAAAAACAUACAUCUGAUGUCACUCUGUCCCUCUGUCACUGUGUGUGUGUGUUUGUGUGUGUUUUAAGUGAAUUAGGUGUGAAACUAUCAGGGAGCAUUUAGUCUCCAGCGCCAACAUUUUACAGAACUGCCACUUUCCUGGAGUCUCCAGAAUUACUCGGUGUCCGGCUCUGAGAGACUUAAGAUCCCAAAAAAUGAUUUAAUUAGAAUACCAUGAAGUAUUGUGAAAUACUAUAUAUUAAGGCUUUAUAUAUAGGCUUUAUGAACAGAUUAGAGUGACUCGUGAAGGACCAGCACCACCUCCUCUUGUCCGAUGGUUUGAGGAGUAUAUCUUCCAGAAUCCAGGAUUAAGAUUUAAGAGCUCAUUUUUAUUCCACCUCCUUUCCUGAAAGUCUGUCUUGCAGAAUUGACUAAAAAUUAAUCUUCACAUUAUUUCCUAAUUAUUUUGCAAUUCUUUUUGUCAGUUCUUCUUGACCUGUUUUUCUCUUCCAGCUUUCCUGGACUAUUGUAUAGCACUCAUAAAUGAUUAAAUAAAAAAUAAUGGUAGUUAUUAAGAUUGAUAUGGUUUGGAAUUGGUAAAAAAUGCUUGGAAAAAAAUCACAAUAAAACAAUGUUUUAAUGUUUAAGUUUGGAAUAUUAACUGACGUGAAUGAAUGCUAUAUAAACAUUGUUCAUGUUAACAUAAUGUUUAUGAAUGGAAUCUUAUUGUAAAGUGUUACUAAAGUUAUAUAUAUAUAUAUUGUUCUGUGAAUGUGAUUUUAAAGUCUAGAUGAUUCGGAUUAACCCUUUAACUGCCAUAUCCUUUAAAACCUCACUGCCAGAGGGAUAUUGUGAA